AGUGGUGCAUGGUAUUGGAUCUUUUACUUUGAAAAAAUUAGAGUGUUUCAAGCAGGCUUUAUGCUAUGAAUACAUUAGCAUGGAAUAAUAAUUUAGGACUUCGGUUCUAUUUUGUUGGUUUCUAGGACUGAAGUAAUGAUUGAUAGGGAUAGUUGGGGGUGCUAGUAUUCAGCGGCCAGAGGUGAAAUUCUCGGAUUCGCUGAAGACUAACUUAUGCGAAAGCAUUCACCAAGGAUGUCUUCUUCUGUCUCU
Molecule: ribosomal RNA, 252 nt
Filed under: uncultured Cercozoa
Lineage: Eukaryota; Cercozoa
Description: partial 18S ribosomal RNA
Rfam family: Eukaryotic small subunit ribosomal RNA
Source: RNAcentral